GAAAUGGCACUGGUGUGGCUGAGUGACUGGGUUCUUCACUUCAUUUAAGUUAAGCAGCCACAUGUGGCCAGUGCUGCCAGGCAGCCCAGCUAAUGGCAGUCCCUGAGCCUGCCCCUGCGCUUCUGGGUGAACGUGAUCAAGAACCCACAGUUUGUGUUCGACAUUCACAAGAACAGCAUCACGGACGCCUGCUUGUCGGUGGUGGCCCAGACCUUCAUGGACUCCUGCUCCACCUCUGAGCACAAGCUGGGCAAGGACUCACCCUCCAACAAGCUGCUCUACGCCAAGGACAUCCCCAACUACAAGAGCUGGGUGGAGAGGUACUAUGCGGACAUCGCCAAGAUGCCAGCCAUCAGCGACCAGGACAUGAGUGCGUAUCUGGCUGAGCAGUCCCGCCUGCACCUGAGCCAGUUCAACAGCAUGAGCGCCUUGCACGAGAUCUACUCCUACAUCACCAAGUACAAGGAUGAGAUCCUGGCAGCCCUGGAGAAGGACGAGCAGGCGCGGCGGCAGCGGCUGCGGAGCAAGCUGGAGCA
This 536-nucleotide small RNA is filed under the name Pan troglodytes (chimpanzee). Its description in RNAcentral is "processed transcript". Lineage: Eukaryota; Metazoa; Chordata; Mammalia; Primates; Hominidae. The record is from RNAcentral.